Molecule: ribosomal RNA, 387 nt
Filed under: Paracidovorax citrulli
Lineage: Bacteria; Pseudomonadati; Pseudomonadota; Betaproteobacteria; Burkholderiales; Comamonadaceae
Description: bacterial SSU rRNA
Rfam family: Bacterial small subunit ribosomal RNA
Source: RNAcentral
GAAGAACCUUACCCACCUUUGACAUGUACGGAAUCCUUUAGAGAUAGAGGAGUGCUCGAAAGAGAACCGUAACACAGGUGCUGCAUGGCUGUCGUCAGCUCGUGUCGUGAGAUGUUGGGUUAAGUCCCGCAACGAGCGCAACCCUUGCCAUUAGUUGCUACGAAAGGGCACUCUAAUGGGACUGCCGGUGACAAACCGGAGGAAGGUGGGGAUGACGUCAAGUCCUCAUGGCCCUUAUAGGUGGGGCUACACACGUCAUACAAUGGCUGGUACAGAGGGUUGCCAACCCGCGAGGGGGAGCUAAUCCCAUAAAGCCAGUCGUAGUCCGGAUCGCAGUCUGCAACUCGACUGCGUGAAGUCGGAAUCGCUAGUAAUCGCGGAUCAGAA